AGAGUUUGAUCAUGGCUCAGAACGAACGCUGGCGGCGUGGAUAAGACAUGCAAGUCGAGCGAGAUUUUUUUCUGUAGCAAUACAGGGAAAAGUCUAGCGGCGAACGGGUGCGUAACACGUGGGCAACCUGCCAAGAAGUGGGGGAUAGCUCGCCGAAAGGCGAAUUAAUACCGCAUGUGAUCAGAGUGGACAUCCAUUCAAAAUCAAAGUCGGGGCAACCUGACGCUUCUUGAGGGGCCCGCGGCCUAUCAGCUAGUUGGUGAGGUAACGGCCCACCAAGGCUUAGACGGGUAGCUGGUCUGAGAGGACGACCAGCCACACUGGGACUGAGACACGGCCCAGACACCUACGGGUGGCAGCAGUCGAGAAUUUUUCUCAAUGGGGGAAACCCUGAAGGAGCGACGCCGCGUGGAGGAUGAAGGUCUUCGGGUUGUAAACUCCUGUCAUUUGGGAACAAUGCGCAAAUAUUAACUGUAUUUGCGUUGAUAGUACCAGAAGAGGAAGGGACGGCUAACUCUGUGCCAGCAGCCGCGGUAAUACAGAGGUCCCAAGCGUUGUUCGGAUUCAUUGGGCGUAAAGGGUGCGUAGGCGGCGCGGUAAGUCGGGUGUGAAAUCUCGGGGCUUAACUCCGAAACUGCAUUCGAUACUGCCGUGCUUGAGGACUGGAGAGGAGACUGGAAUUUACGGUGUAGCGGUGAAAUGCGUAGAUAUCGUAAGGAAGACCAGUGGCGAAGGCGGGUCUCUGGACAGUUCCUGACGCUGAGGCACGAAGGCCAGGGGAGCAAACGGGAUUAGAUACCCUAGUAGUCC
RNAcentral lists this ribosomal RNA (810 nucleotides) under uncultured bacterium. RNAcentral's name for it is "bacterial SSU rRNA". It matches the Rfam family "Bacterial small subunit ribosomal RNA", at positions 8 to 796 of the family's 1533-position model. The record is from RNAcentral.